GUGGGGAAUCUUGCGCAAUGGGCGAAAGCCUGACGCAGCCAUGCCGCGUGAAUGAUGAAGGUCUUAGGAUUGUAAAAUUCUUUCACCGGGGACGAUAAUGACGGUACCCGGAGAAGAAGCUCCGGCUAACUUCGUGCCAGCAGCCGCGGUAAUACGAAGGGGGCUAGCGUUGCUCGGACUUACUGGGCGUAAAGGGCGCGUAGGCGGACAGCUUAGUCAGAGGUGAAAGCCCAGGGCUCAACCUUGGAAUUGCCUUUGAUACUGGCUGUCUUGAGUUUGGGAGAGGUGAGUGGAACUCCGAGUGUAGAGGUGAAAUUCGUAGAUAUUCGGAAGAACACCAGUGGCGAAGGCGACUCACUGGCCCAAUACUGACGCUGAGGCGCGAAAGCGUGGGGAGCAAACAGGAUUAGAUACCCUGGUAGUCC
Molecule: ribosomal RNA, 425 nt
Filed under: uncultured bacterium
Lineage: Bacteria
Description: partial 16S ribosomal RNA
Rfam family: Bacterial small subunit ribosomal RNA
Source: RNAcentral